RNAcentral lists this ribosomal RNA (207 nucleotides) under uncultured bacterium. RNAcentral's name for it is "partial 16S ribosomal RNA". It matches the Rfam family "Bacterial small subunit ribosomal RNA", at positions 524 to 719 of the family's 1533-position model. The record is from RNAcentral.
GACGAACCGUGCGAACGUUUGUUCGGAAUCACUGGGCUUAAAGGGCGCGUAGGCGGGCUGCCAAGUCAGGGGUGAAAGCCCACGGACCUCAACCGUGGAAGUGCCUUUGAUACUGGCGGCCUCGAGGGAAGAGGGGCGUGCGGAACUUCCGGUGGAGCGGGUGAAAGUGCUCGUGAGAGUAUACGGAAAGGAACACCGGGUGGCGAA